Hypanus sabinus (Atlantic stingray) is the source of this 1250-nucleotide long non-coding RNA. RefSeq lists it as uncharacterized. The record is from RefSeq and is a predicted model, not a curated record. The transcript has 2 exons. NCBI's taxonomy places the organism in Eukaryota, Metazoa, Chordata, Chondrichthyes, Myliobatiformes, Dasyatidae.
AGUCAAUUCAUGUUCCUUAAAAAUGGAGAAUUAUUUCUCGAGAUAAAGAUACAGCGUUUAAACAAGGAAAACUCGUGAAAAGUUGCAGUUUAGUUUACUCGUUUGUUUUUUUUCCAUAAAUAUUAAGGUAGUAAGCACAGAGCCAAUGCCGUAUUUAAAUUUACUGAGACACGCAGUGACUCGUGACGAAUCAGCAUUCGGGAGGGAGAUUGAAGUUGAAGAUCUGGCUCAGUGUUGCCCCAGCAGCAACCUCUUACUCAGAGUCAGCAAGACCAAAGUGCUGAAUAUUGACUUCAACGGGGGAAAUCGGGGAUCCCUGAGCCAGUCCUCAUCGGGGGAAUCAGAGGCGGAGAGGGUCAGCAACUUUAAAUUCCCUCGGUGCCACCAUUUCGGAGGAUCUGACCUGGGCCCAGCACGAGUGCCAUUACAAAGAAAGCACGGCAGCGCCUCUUGCUUUCUUAGAAUCUAAGCUUGCGAAGAUUCAGCAUCUCAUCUAAAGCUUUGACAAACUUCUCUAGAUGCGCAGUGGGGAGAAAAUUGGCAGAUCCUGGAAAUACAAGCAACACACACAAAAUACUAAAGGAACUACUUCCCAUUUCGACGUCAGUCCAUGGCUUCUUCUGCUACUGUGAUGAGGCCACACUCAGGUUGGAGGAGCAACACAUUUUCAGUCUGGGUAGCCAGCAUCCUGAUGGCAUGGACAUUGAUUUCUCCAGCUUCCAAUACUGCCUGGCCUGUUGAGUUCCUCCAGCAUUUUGUGUGUGUUGCAGCGGGGAGUAUAUUGACUGGCCGCAUCACAGCCUGGAAUGGAAAUGCCAAUGCUCUUGAAUGGAAAAGCCUACACAGAGUCCAUCAUGGGUAAAGCCCUCCCCACCAUUGAGUACAUCUAUGUGGAGUUCUGUCACAAGAAAGUGCAUCCACCAUCAAGCACCAUCUUCAGACCAUGCUCACUUCUCACAGUUGCUAUUAGGAAGCAGGUGCAGGAGCCUCAAGACCCACACGAUCAGGUUCAGUUAUUAUGCCUCAAGCAUCAGGCUCUUGAACCAAAGAGGAUAACUUCACUCACCCCUUCACUGAACUGUUCCCACAACCUAUGGACUCACUUUCAAUGACUCUUCAUCUCAUUUUCUUGACAUUUAUUGCUUAGAUACUAUUUGAUUUUUUAAUUUGUUUUUUGUAUUUACUGUAAUGCUCUUAAGAAAAUGAAUCUCAGGGUUGUACUUUGAUAAUAAAUUUGCCUUGAACUUUGA